UAAAUUGGCUCAUAAGUAAUUCAAAUAUAUAGAUUUGCAAUAAACUUCAAAAGAUAGUACGUCUUGUGUACUUACGCAUACUUAUACAACAAUAUUCUAAAUAUGUGUACACAAUUGUUCAAAAAGUACUCUUACAAUAGUUCAAUAUAUUCUAGCAAUGAAUAUAUUUCACAAAUCAAAUAUAAUGUAUUCAAACUUCUACAAUAGUUCAAAAACUCUUCAUCAUCAUCCACUUCAACUAGAUCAAGUUUACUUGUUGUGGGACCCUUCAAAUUUGAUCACCUCAAUUUCCCUACACAUUUAAAAUGAAAUUAAAAAUCAAAACAAACCAUAUACAACAAAUCUGAUUUGCAGCAGUUAUAGAAGAGGCAAGAAAUUCCAAAUUGCAUAUUGCAGCAGUUCUAGAUUGCAGAUUGUAGACUGCAGAUUUUUUGAGUUCAGGCAGCACUGUAUUAUAUCAGAUUGCAACAGAUAUAUAACAGGGGUAGCAGGAGAAAUAUCCAAAGAUAUUCUAAUGCAGACAUGUAAAUCAGGAUAGCAGUCGCACAAAACAAAGCAUGGAAAAAGAGGAAAAUCAACUCCAACCACACCAAGACACUCUACUGCAGACAAGGUAAGUCUCAUAACUAUGCUCCUAGUCAAGUUGGUAACUCUAAUUUUGAAAAUCAUUUACAACCUAUUGUAAAUGAGCAAGUCAGUCAAAAUGCUAUUCCUUUGAGACAUGAACAUAAACAAGUUGCUGUUAGUGACAACCCUUAAAAACAAAAUGUUACUGCUAACAAAAAUGAUCCUAAUAACAAAGGAAAACAGGUUGUUGUUAGUGACAAACCUCAACAACAAAGUGAAAAGUACACACAACUCAUAGACUCCAAAGAUUAGCCAUCACCUGCUUCAGCUAAAUGUCUUAGUGUUGUCCUUGUAGGAUUGUGUUUGAUUGCCAAUUUCAUGUUGGUAUAUUGGAGUAGAAGUUGUAUUAAAUUAGUAUGAGGUUGAUGAAUGAGGCCAGUUAUACUCCAUGGAGGUGCAAUGCUAUUGUUGUAUCGUUUGGUCACUUGCUCUGAGUCAACCUCAAGGAUGAUUCUGCUACAGUCGUGCUGGAUACACCAAGCCAUUCCAAUAUUGGCUGCUUCAACUUCUGCUUUAUUCUGCACCUACCUCAGAUGUGAUUUUGGCAACUGAAAAAAAAAAGAACAAACACUACUGCUCAAUUGACAAGGAAGAUUAUAUCAAGCAACUUCAGUCCUAAAAAAAUCAGUUUUGUGCAACAGAAAACCACUUCAACCUUUCAGUGGUAAUUUUCCACUAAAUUCACCACG
This 1316-nucleotide long non-coding RNA is filed under the name Solanum tuberosum (potato). RNAcentral describes it as "long non-coding RNA (STUB_LNC009146)". Lineage: Eukaryota; Viridiplantae; Streptophyta; Magnoliopsida; Solanales; Solanaceae. The record is from RNAcentral.